UGGGGAAUUUUGGACAAUGGGGGAAACCCUGAUCCAGCCAUCCCGCGUGUGCGAUGAAGGCCUUCGGGUUGUAAAGCACUUUUGGCAGGAAAGAAACGUCAUGGGUUAAUACCCCGUGAAACUGACGGUACCUGCAGAAUAAGCACCGGCUAACUACGUGCCAGCAGCCGCGGUAAUACGUAGGGUGCAAGCGUUAAUCGGAAUUACUGGGCGUAAAGCGUGCGCAGGCGGUUCGGAAAGAAAGAUGUGAAAUCCCAGAGCUCAACUUUGGAACUGGAUUUGUAACUACCGGGCUAGAGUGUGUCAGAGGGAGGUGGAAUUCCGCGUGUAGCAGUGAAAUGCGUAGAUAUGCGGAGGAACACCGAUGGCGAAGGCAGCCUCCUGGGAUAACACUGACGCUCAUGCACGAAAGCGUGGGGAGCAAACAGG
This 429-nucleotide ribosomal RNA is filed under the name Acidobacteriota bacterium. RNAcentral's name for it is "Acidobacteria bacterium partial 16S ribosomal RNA". It matches the Rfam family "Bacterial small subunit ribosomal RNA", at positions 355 to 776 of the family's 1533-position model. Lineage: Bacteria; Pseudomonadati; Acidobacteriota. The record is from RNAcentral.